RNAcentral lists this transfer RNA (72 nucleotides) under Chloropicon mariensis. Its description in RNAcentral is "tRNA-His". It matches the Rfam family "tRNA". From Rfam's summary of the family: Transfer RNA (tRNA) molecules are approximately 80 nucleotides in length. Their secondary structure includes four short double-helical elements and three loops (D, anti-codon, and T loops). Lineage: Eukaryota; Viridiplantae; Chlorophyta; Chloropicophyceae; Chloropicales; Chloropicaceae. The record is from RNAcentral.
GCGAGUAUAGCUUAACGGUUAAAGUACCAGGUUGUGGUUCUGGUGAUACGAGUUCAAUUCUCGUUAUUCGCC